This 209-nucleotide unclassified non-coding RNA is filed under the name fungal sp. Its description in RNAcentral is "partial internal transcribed spacer region". The stretch from base 1 to 46 matches the Rfam family "Eukaryotic small subunit ribosomal RNA", at positions 1786 to 1831 of the family's 1831-position model. Lineage: Eukaryota; Fungi. The record is from RNAcentral.
AAGUCGUAACAAGGUUUCCGUAGGUGAACCUGCGGAAGGAUCAUCACUGAUUCUGAAAUCUUAUUCACACCCUGUGCACGGACCUGGUCUGGCGGGCGGGCUCGCCGAGCGCGCCCCCAGACCUCAUCCCGAUAAACGCCCGCCGAAGACGAUCUGAACACAAACGAAAAAAACAGACACAACUUUUAACAACGGAUCUCUUGGUUCUC